UACGUAGGGGGCAAGCGUUGUCCGGAAUCAUUGGGCGUAAAGAGCGUGUAGGCGGCUUGGUAAGUCCGCUGUGAAAGUCCAGGGCUCAACCCUGGAAAGCCGGUGGAAACUGUCAAGCUUGAGUCCGGAAGAGGCGAGUGGAAUUCCUGGUGUAGCGGUGAAAUGCGCAGAUAUCAGGAGGAACACCGGUGGCGAAGGCGGCUCACUGGACCGAGACUGACGCUGAGGCGCGAAAGCGUGGGGAGCAAACAGG
This 253-nucleotide ribosomal RNA is filed under the name uncultured bacterium. Its description in RNAcentral is "partial 16S ribosomal RNA". It matches the Rfam family "Bacterial small subunit ribosomal RNA", at positions 524 to 776 of the family's 1533-position model. The record is from RNAcentral.